MicroRNA precursor from Medicago truncatula (barrel medic), 200 nucleotides. It matches the Rfam family "MIR2619 microRNA precursor family". Lineage: Eukaryota; Viridiplantae; Streptophyta; Magnoliopsida; Fabales; Fabaceae. The record is from Rfam.
AAAUAGCCCCUAUGUAUUGAAUCUUUGGCAAUUUUGGCAUCCAAUGCCACUUUUGACUUAGUCUUCGCUGACGUGGCACCCACAAUAGUCGACACGUGGCACCUCACUUAAGUAAUGUGGGUGCCACGUCAACGAAGACUAAGUCAAAAGUGGUCUUCGGGGCCAAAAAUGCCAAAGAUCCAAUACAUAGGGGACUGUUU